ACAUGCAAGUCGAACGCUUUUUCUCUCACCGGAGCUUGCUCCACCGAAAGAAAAGGAGUGGCGAACGGGUGAGUAACACGUGGGUAACCUGCCCAUCAGAAGGGGAUAACACUUGGAAACAGGUGCUAAUACCGUAUAACAAUCGAAACCGCAUGGUUUCGGUUUGAAAGGCGCUUUUGCGUCACUGAUGGAUGGACCCGCGGUGCAUUAGCUAGUUGGUGAGGUAACGGCUCACCAAGGCAACGAUGCAUAGCCGACCUGAGAGGGUGAUCGGCCACAUUGGGACUGAGACACGGCCCAAACUCCUACGGGAGGCAGCAGUAGGGAAUCUUCGGCAAUGGACGCAAGUCUGACCGAGCAACGCCGCGUGAGUGAAGAAGGUUUUCGGAUCGUAAAACUCUGUUGUUAGAGAAGAACAAGGAUGAGAGUAAAAUGUUCAUCCCUUGACGGUAUCUAACCAGAAAGCCACGGCUAACUACGUGCCAGCAGCCGCGGUAAUACGUAGGUGGCAAGCGUUGUCCGGAUUUAUUGGGCGUAAAGCGAGCGCAGGCGGUUUCUUAAGUCUGAUGUGAAAGCCCCCGGCUCAACCGGGGAGGGUCAUUGGAAACUGGGGAACUUGAGUGCAGAAGAGGAGAGUGGAAUUCCAUGUGUAGCGGUGAAAUGCGUAGAUAUAUGGGGGAACACCAGUGGCGAAGGCGGCUCUCUGGUCUGUA
This 713-nucleotide ribosomal RNA is filed under the name uncultured Bacilli bacterium. Its description in RNAcentral is "bacterial SSU rRNA". It matches the Rfam family "Bacterial small subunit ribosomal RNA", at positions 53 to 738 of the family's 1533-position model. The record is from RNAcentral. Lineage: Bacteria; Bacillati; Bacillota; Bacilli.